UCCCUGAUGGUCCAAUGGUUAAGACUCUGCGCUUCCAAUGCAGAGGGCACGGGUUCAAUCCCUGGUCCAGGAA
RNAcentral lists this transfer RNA (73 nucleotides) under Ovis aries (sheep). It matches the Rfam family "tRNA". Rfam says of the family: Transfer RNA (tRNA) molecules are approximately 80 nucleotides in length. Their secondary structure includes four short double-helical elements and three loops (D, anti-codon, and T loops). Lineage: Eukaryota; Metazoa; Chordata; Mammalia; Artiodactyla; Bovidae. The record is from Rfam by way of RNAcentral.